GGUUGUAAACUGCUUUUAUAAGUGAGGAAUAUGACGGUAACUUAUGAAUAAGGAUCGGCUAACUACGUGCCAGCAGCCGCGGUCAUACGUAGGAUCCAAGCGUUAUCCGGAGUGACUGGGCGUAAAGAGUUGCGUAGGUGGUUUGUUAAGUAGAUAGUGAAAUCUGGCGGCUCAACCGUACAGGCUAUUAUCUAAACUGACAAACUCGAGAAUGGUAGAGGUAACUGGAAUUUCUUGUGUAGGAGUGAAAUCCGUAGAUAUAAGAAGGAACACCAAUGGCGUAGGCAGGUUACUGGACCAUUUCUGACACUGAGGCACGAAAGCGUGGGGAGCGAACAGGAUUAGAUACCCUGGUAGUCC
This 360-nucleotide ribosomal RNA is filed under the name uncultured bacterium. Its description in RNAcentral is "bacterial SSU rRNA". It matches the Rfam family "Bacterial small subunit ribosomal RNA", at positions 421 to 796 of the family's 1533-position model. The record is from RNAcentral.